RNAcentral lists this transfer RNA (71 nucleotides) under Bos taurus (domestic cattle). It matches the Rfam family "tRNA". From Rfam's summary of the family: Transfer RNA (tRNA) molecules are approximately 80 nucleotides in length. Their secondary structure includes four short double-helical elements and three loops (D, anti-codon, and T loops). Further hydrogen bonds mediate the characteristic L-shaped molecular structure. tRNAs have two regions of fundamental functional importance: the anti-codon, which is responsible for specific mRNA codon recognition, and the 3' end, to which the tRNAs corresponding amino acid is attached (by aminoacyl-tRNA synthetases). tRNAs cope with the degeneracy of the genetic code in two manners: having more than one tRNA (with a specific anti-codon) for a particular amino acid; and 'wobble' base-pairing, i.e. permitting non-standard base-pairing at the 3rd anti-codon position. The record is from Rfam by way of RNAcentral. RNAcentral also lists the same sequence under 1 other name. Lineage: Eukaryota; Metazoa; Chordata; Mammalia; Artiodactyla; Bovidae.
UCCCUGGUGGCUCAGUGAUAAAGAAUCUGAUUGCCAAUCAGGAGACAAGGGUUCAAUCCCUGAUCCAGGAA